UUUUUUUUUGUAAGGGUAAUACCGAUAUCACUAACCCAUUACUUUUUUGAAACACUCUCCCCCAUUUUUUUGUUAUUAUAUGCUUCUUUCUGCAUAUUAUAAACAUACAAUUUAUGUGUAAAUUGUGUGUAAAUUUUGUCAUUAUUUGUUUUAGUUUUUCAUUUAAAGUUUUUAAAAGGGUAAUACCAAUCCCACAAACUAAUUCCUUUUUAGAAAAUUUCCUUUUUUGCAUAAAUUCCACUCCUAUAUGUUUACUCUUGUACACAUUGCACAAAACGUAAUUUUUCUGUAAAUUGCAUGCAAUUUUUUCCCAUUAUUUUGUGCAUUAACUAAUUCACUCUCCAUUAGAAAACCUUUUAUUUCAUCAACGGGCUGUUGUUUUGCGUCGGCCCAAGAACUGUUGUGGGCUUCUAUUGGUUUGGGCUGUUUUCCACAAAAUCGACUGAUUCUAAAUUUGGGCCAGUCAAUUCUGUUUGUCCGUUUGAUCUAAAAUUAAGGGCUGAUCCAAAAAUCGGCUGACCAUAAUUCAUUUUAAGUCGACUAGCCAGCCCCAUUAUCAUACACGACAUUCUUAAGAGAAGACUCAAGUCACAAAAAUUUUAAACUACUAAGCAAUGUGUCCCACAGUGUCCACACCAAUCCUUGAGUGUUAGGCUAAGGAAGUGGUAAGUUUGAUGGAAAACCAAAACAAAAUUUAGAGAAACAUCUAAAAACGAAGCCCUUCCGCUGGCAAGGGCUGGCAUCCACCACGCUCCAAUGGCGCUAAGGCCGCUAGAGAUGAGGCAAUUACUCCCUCCGUCUCGCAAUAUACUAUAUAUGUUAUUACAUCCAAAAUAUACGGCAUAAUACAUGGCAUUCUUAAGAGAAGACUAAUAGGCUAAGGAAAUGUGACUUUGAUGGAACAGCACUAAGCAAUGUGUCAAAAAAAAAGUGUCCACAGUGCACACCAAUCCUUGAGUGUUAGGCUAAGGAAAUGUGACUUUGAUGGAAAGCACACAUAGGCAAGGGAUGCACCGGUAUCUGGACACGUGAUGGACCCAGUAGUAAAUAUUCCUUUGUGGAAGGCUUUGGUUAUACCUGGGUGGCAAAGCGAAGUUUCUGGUGGGUAGGUGUCUAAAACAACCCUCUGCAAGGAAGCACGCCCGUAUCAAUCCUUUAAUCGGAGACUAGACUAGCGUUAGGAAGGACAAAGGAGACAGACAGAAUUUACAUCAGAAAAAAAAGGACUUUUUGAAGUUUGAGUGAGGAUAAUUGUCUUAAAUUUCGGAGAAUCGGCUGAAAAAACGCGGAAUUGUCUUCGCCUUUGUAAGCGAAAAUGUCCAGUAAAGCCUAUCUCGCUUUUAGCCUUCAUGGUGAAUGGCCCACCCUUUCUUUGAACCUUGUCAAUGAUCGAACGAACUUACAGAUAUGAACUGAGUGCCAUUUGAUGAGUAAGAUCGAACAAGGGAGAGGGAUAUGGAAAGGAUGAAGUAAUGAAAGAGGAAGUCAUUGCUAGUAGUAACGACUUGUCACGAUCCAUUGGUUCAUAUAGAAUCCAUGUCCUAGGUCUAUCAAAAAACAUUCUUUUCGCUAAGCGUAUAUAAUAAAAUAGAGUGAAAGGGUCCACCCCGAAACCAAGGGGGUACUAACUAACAGCUGAGUCCUCUCCGAACCGCAGGAGAUAGUUGCCCAUCAUACGGCUCACCAACUUCACUUGCCUCUAAGGGGGGCUCGCUCCGGGCAGGUUCGGAUCACUUACUAUACACGGCCCUACGAAGGGGUUAGGAGCGUUUUCAAGAUGAUUCUUUCUUUGUCGAGACGAAAAAGGAACCCAUCUUUUCGAUUGAAAAAUGUGAGUCUGUUUUGCCCACUUUAUCCAUCCCCCUCUAUCAAAAUGAUCAAAAAGGCAUUUCAAAUGCUUCUUAUUCCCGUGUUUGAUCUUAUCCAUCUCUGCCCCGCUUCCAUGUGGGCAGAGACCCCUGUAGAGAAUGAAGAGGAGCCAAGGAUCUUACUCUCAAGAGUGCUUCGAUAGGCUCCACUCUCUCCCCUGAAUAAGUCAGGCUCCGUUAGCCUGGGCUGAGAUGGGGAUAACGAGUCGACGAUUGAAGCCCCCAACGUUCUGCCAGACACUGGACAGGGGUAAGCUCUGUAAAUGUGUAGAGCCAAGUGUAGUGUGGUGUAGUAGUAGGCACUUCUAGGCCCCUUCCCGGCUACUGGAUCACUCCAGUGCUUCGGGUACUACGGACCCUCUGCCAUCCAUUGCAGCAGAGCCGUUUCAUGAGCGGGGGGGCUAAGCGCAGUUCUUUGAAUCAAAGGUUUCAUGAAAUCGAAAUCGAUUCUUUUUUAGAUAUCUGGAUAGAUGGAUGGAUCUAUCUUUCUAUUCAGAUAUCUUUUGCAAUCAGCCCCAAAUCCUUGAUUUGGCCAGGAAACAAAGCACUGCUUUGGGCCCAGGAAGCGAAGGGAAUGAGCUCGGCUGCUUCUCCCCCACACUUCUUUAUUUCUCCGUGCCCCUUCCGCAUGCGCUUCGCGCGCCAUUGGCGCUUUGCUCUCCUCUUAUUUCUUCAUUGGAGGGUUCGGAUGGACUUCGCCGUUCUUUCCCAACGAAAAUGGAAAGGGCUGUAUCACAUCGAGAUGUCGAUUCGUUUUCCGCCCCAAAUGAGAUGGGGAAUUAGUCACCUCUGUCCCUUCAUCUUUUUGAAAGGAAUCGAGGCCCGGCCCGGCUCGCGUCGUUCCAACAACCGACGGGGAGCACCUCAGUAUACGAUCGCGUGCAGUAACUGGGAGUCCUAUUACACCUAAGGCCAACUUCCAUUCACCAAACCCAGGUUCAUCUCGUGUAGUGAUUGUGGACUCGUACAAGGAUAUGGAGUCGACGGUUGAUGUAUCAGACUCGACCCUGUCUUUCGUAGCAUGCAUUCCCAUCUGUGUUGCAACUGAUUCGGUAAGCUACGUGUCCGGUGCACGGAAAACUGCCUUCGGUCUCCCAACCUUACUCAUGGCAACCUUCCGGCCGCCCAACGACCUAUAACGCUAGUCACUACUCCCACUGGGGCUAGGAAGUAAGCCCCACAACCCAAAGCGGCGAAGAACAAAUAGAAUUUGCUACAAAAGCCGGCUAACGGGGGUAUUCCUGCGUAUGAGAACAUUGUAAUGGAGAAGGUCAUAGCCGAAAUAGGAUUCGUUUUGGCUAGAGCGCCCAAAUCCGCUAUAUAUUUGACACGGGUUUGUCGUAAUGCUGGAACUAUGGCGAAUGCAUCUAUCGUCAUUGAUGCAUAAAUAAAUAUACCAAUUAGUAGUGAUUGAAUUCCUUCUAUGGUUCCACAUGAGAAACCAGUACGAAUAUAACCUACAUGUCCAAUCGAACUAUGAGCUAGAGGUCUUUUGACUUUCGUUUGGGCCAUGGCGGCCAGUGCUCCUAAGAUCAUAGAAGCAAUGCUGCAGAAAAAGAAGAUUUGUUGUAAUGUACCCCCAUAGGAAGCAACAAUAGAAACACGUGACAUAUUUGCAGAAAUAGAGAUUUUAGGCGCAAUAGAAAGGAAUGCUGUCACCGGGGUGGGUGAACCCUCAUAGAUAUCAGGUGCCCACAUAUAUAGAGUCAAAAGAGAGAUUGAGUCCGAGGGAGAGGGGGGUUUUCUUGGGGCUCGAGAGAUUGAAUAGAUAGGGCCCCACAAGUUGUUAAUUCGCCGCUGGGGAAUUCACACAAAAGGGAAGGACUUAUUCUCAACGAAAAAAGUGCUCUCUGAACCGAACGUGAAAGUUGUUUUCCAUCAGACGGCUGUUCACGUAACUCCACUCUCGGCUUGGAUUAUAUAUCCAUUUGGUCCGCUCUCGGCCAUUCCACACGCUGCCUAGCAGAGACGUGGUUAUCUGAAGUGGAUUCUCUCUUUUGUAGUAGAUGCCGAACCUGCUGCUCAGUGGGCGGGCACAGCAGCUACAUGGACCCCUUUCUUUAUGUUGUUGCCAGCGCUUUCCCGGGCCGAGCCGGAAUUCUUUAUUAGAACGUCGGCAGGCAAAGCCCGAAGGAAGGCUGCUAUCCCCUCGGCCUUCUUCCUUUUCGAUGAAAAACAAAUCGACAUCUCAAUCUCCGAAAGCGUUUUCCUUACCCAGCUAAUAUCCCCCCCUUCGUCGAGCCUUUCCUUUAGUGGUAAGGGAUAUGCACCUUAUCUGAACGUCGGCAGGCAUUCCGGAAUUCUCCUUUUUUGGCCCCGGGUGAACAUAGGCUCAAACAUGAUUGGAGGGGUCCUAGCUACGCCAUGCGUUCAAUAAAAAAAAAGCAAGCCUCUGGGAAGCUGCAGGGAUUACAAAAAGAGGGUGCUUUCCUGUGUUGCACUGAAAAAAGGACAAAGGAGAAGACGCUCUUCGACUUUCUUUCUUCCUCCCGCGCCCGCCUAAGCCCGGCCCGCGUUAGAGGGGAAGAUUAGCAAAGCGGAAAAAGACAGAGGGAGGGGGAGCUGCAUCUUAUUCUCUUCGCGAGAACUUCAGGAUCGGAGAAGCAUUCGGAAGGGGCGAGGCCUUCAUUUCGUUGGCAGAAGCAGAAACGAUCCAAUCCAUUCGGGGCUUCGGGGAACCCAAAAACGAACUCUGUUUACUUUUUUCAUAGAUAGAUGAUAUAUAUAGGAAUAAUAUAUACAUCCCUUUACUUGAGAUGUCUAUGUAUCUAUUUUGGAAUCAUCUCCCGAUUCUCUUUUUUUUUCUAAUUCGCACUGCUCUUUCUCUCUAAAUUGCAUCAAAGAAAAUAGAGAGAGAGAGAGAGCAGAUGGAUCCUAUCCCCUAUAACGAACACUCAUUCCUAUCUAUUGAUAGAAAAGAAAGAUCUUCGUCACGGACUUUUUCUUUGUUCAUUUUUUUUUUAGAUUGGAGGAAUUCCUCAUAUCCAAGGCAGCUCCCCACAAACACCCCACCCAUAUGACUAUGCCCCCUUUUGAAUCGACAGUAUAGAUUAGGCUUCAUAGCUACUUUCAUUCUAAAGACGAAUAUUAGUCAAUAGGCAGGCUUCUUUCAGUAGCAAACAUAUUCAUUUUCACCGGGCUCCGCGCACCUUUGGUACUUCUGGAGGGCAAGCUGUUUUAUAGUGACUUCUUUCUUAGGGUAGGGCGACGAAUACUUCCAAUUCCGGAAAGGUCAUUGGGUCGCCUUUGGAAGCUAAAGCGAAAGUUGUAGAAAGCCGGGAGAAAAAGCGAAAGCUUGCUCGAAACGGCCUAUACCCUAACCCUCGGAAGCGAAGACGCAAAGCGUCACUUUUUUCAAAAGGAAGGAGUUUUUUCUGACUGAAUCCAUCCAUAAAGCCGCCAAGGAAACGAAGUUCGUUCCCUUUCAUCAAGUGGGUAAGGUAGGCAAACCACUUAAGCUUUGCCUUAGACUGACGGAACAAAGCUAAGAAGUAGGCUGAAUGGAAAAAGGAAAGGGACAAGGGCGGUCGUCGCUUGGCGCGAAGGCUGCUGGUUCGGUAUGGUACUAAAGGUCCUCGGACUUCCAGGCGGUUUUUCUUUUGGGCUGCUGUGAACCCUUGGAUCUCGCCAAUACAGCCUCCUAUGGUUUUCGUUACCGAGAUAUCUUUUCUUUUUUCCCAGGGAUUUUUUGGGUAAUCAGCUCCCAUGCUGCAAACAGUCAAAUCUGAACCUUGUCGCUCUUCUUUCCUCGUGGGCAGGAAGCACACCAGCAGCGUGCGUUGCGUGAUUCCACUGUGUUUUUUGCACUUGACUGGGUGGACAGUUGACCGGAAGAUAACUUCGAUUCGCCCGGCCAGCAGGCGGGCGGCGUGCUUAUCUUGUGUGACAACACUACAGAGCGAGUAGCUCUUCUAGUCGGGCAGCUGUGUGACAACACUCCUGAGAAAGCGGCGCUUUUGUGUAACAUGCUAUGGUCUCAACGCCCUUACGAGGUAGUGAUGAGUUUCACGCGCUCUAAGCCCGGCCCGCGCGCAGUUAGGAGGAUUGGCCGCUAUCUAAGCGGUACCACCCACCCUACCCUACUACCUAUAGGGGGCCGUCCGUCCUACAGCCGCCCGAAAAGGAACUGCAGUAAUCUUGAAUAGGAAUCCUACAGCGAUAAAAAGAAUCCCCAUAAAAAUACCACUAGAUCGAGCACCAGUGAUUUCGUAUCCGGUCAAAAUCUUGGCUAAUUGAUCGAAGUGGGUAGCUCCAGUAGACCCAUAGAUCAUGGAACAAAUAGGGUGGGUAGGCCCAACCACCACACUACACGUAUAGACGCGAACCCCCCUCCUUACCGUACGUGCGACUCUCACCGCAUACGGCUCGCACAAAGACUCCAAAAUCCAUCCCGAGCUUUUUAUUCCACCUCUCCCUCCUCUCCAAUCCUCGAUCAAACUAGCCUUCCCCAGCAAGAAAACGUAUCCGCUUUAGCAACAAAGCGCUCAUCCCUUGCUUGUUCUUGAGCGCGCAAGGCGCUCAAGACGGUGAUUCUUGCUUAAAAAAGGGCUAAAGCACUCCAGCUUCGAAGCUGGAGUUUGCAACUUCAAAACUACAGGUUUUAGCCCUCCUGCUGGGUGGGCGCUUCCUUCGUCUAUCGUAUGUCUCGCUUGGCUUCGUCCCGAACCAAGGAGGCAUGAUGGCGGGCGCGUGCGUGUGCCGACUGCAGAGACUACAAGCCGACGCCGGAAGCGACUCGCUUCUAUUCUCGAUUGGAUAUAGAUGGGGAAUCUCUAUAGAUCAUCUUUUUUCGACAACCUCUCUAAAAUGCAUACGAGAAAAUUGCACUUCACGGCACGGCAAAAAAAAAAGAGCUUCGCUCGGUUGGCCCUCCUAGGCUUCCGCCUACUUUCUCUUCUCUUAAGUCUACAACAAGUGGGAGAGGCAGGAUUCGAACCUACGUAGAAAACCUUCAACAGAUUUACAGUCUGUCGCUUUUGACCGCUCGGCCACUCUCCCCUUCCCGGGGAUACGCCCUCCUCAAACAAAGGGUUCCUGAAUAAGAAGGAUGGCGGUCUUCGUUCUUAAGUUAAGAAGAGCAGAUGGAACUAUUAGAUUUGCUAGCGUUCCGGGAGAAUAAAUAAGGUCAUUUAGUAAGUUCAUAACAAUCCAUUUAUGUAAAGCAAGGGGCAAAGCUUCUACGAUAGCUUCCCCCUCAUUGCCAUCGUCGGCCUUCCCCAGCUCCCCUCCUUCGUCGCUUCUGGCUAAGCAUCUUUCGGCGGAGGAAAGGAGGCGACUAGUCGCUUCUGGCGAAGCAGCGAGUUCAUGAGCAAGUGAAUGAACGAGCAGCGAGUGAAGUGCAACAGUCGUAAGUAAGGCUCGCCAUGUUCCUAAAAGGAGUGACCAUCUUUUCUUCCCUUCUACUGACACUGAGCGAGCAGCAAGCAUAGGCAAUAGUUUCCGUAGGGGUGGGGCGCAAGCAAGCGUUUUCAGGCUCCGCUAGCUAGCGUACUCUUCUGCUAUCAAUGAAACCGAAAGAAAAAACCAGUGCCCUUUCGUAUAGAUCGAGACGCAGUACUUUUUCUUUACUUCUUCCAUACUAGGAAGAAUGGAAGGAAAUCCUUCGAUAACACUUCUUCCUUAUUUGAAGAAAUGAUAUCUGACGCCCGUGGAAACUCUUUCAUUUCAAAAAAGUUCUUCUUCUUAAGAAGCAAAUAGCAUUUCCUAUUGAUUUGUCCCCUGGACUAGACCUAUGUAGAUUCGGAAUUAUCCGUCGCUACGCUGUUCCCAAGGACUAGCAAAAUCGAAAUAGCGAAAUUCUUGGGUCAUCUCAAUGGGUUCAGAAACCACACGUUUCUCUGGAUCAUCAUAGCGUACUUCCACAUAUCCACUCAGAGGAAAGUCUUUUCGUAAUGGACGACCCUCAAAACCAUAAUAUGUUGAUAUACGGCGUAAAUCCGGAUGAUUGAUGGAAGAAACACCAGACAUAUCCCAUACUUCUCGCUCCCACCGGCCGGCUGAUGGAAAUAGACUGACUACCGGAGAUAUUCGUGUUACUUCGUCUGCACUUGUUUGUACACGAAUGCGUGAGUUAUACCGAGUACUCAGUAAAUUAUGGACAACUUCAAAUCUUCGUUUUCGAGAGGGAUGAUCCACUCCGCAAAUAUCGAUCGAAACUUGAACCCUUGUAUAGGUAUGCCAUUUUAGAAAGCACAACAAUGGAAAUGGGUAGUCAGUAUUGGUAUAAGAUCUAUUCCCAUGUUCCGAUCUUUUCAUUUUAUGUACCCAUUUCUUGGGUAAAAUCUCCCAACUAUAUUGGAAAAUGGAUUGGUUAUCCAUAAAUGAAAAUAAAGAAAGCUUUAUUUUGGUUCCGCUUCUUGCUCUAAGCAGAAAGACUUCUCGGAAAUCGCCGGUUGGGUUGGUCCGACCAAGAAAGGCAUGGGAGUGGAGAGGCAGAAGUGAAAGACUGGCUACCAAUAAAGAUCCAAAACUGCACACACACUUUUUAGAGUUAUGUAUCCAGGAUCGACUGCAUGCUCUAGUGUUGAAUCGGGUAUAGAACCCAGGAUGCUUGGUUACAAUUCCGAAUCCGCUAAACCAUCGCUCGGGGAAAAGUAUUAUACAGAGCAUUAGUACUUAUUCUGAUCCUUUCCUUAUAUUUAGAUUCUAGUAGUUUAUUUCAGUCGUAUUCGUAUCCUUACUGCGGUUUUUUAAGGGUAACAAAUAAAAGUAUGCAGGUUCUAUUUUAUUGUUCCGAGACAUAUGAUGAUAGCAUUGAGAAUGAGAAAUCUUUGCAAAAUGCACGUAUUAUUAAGGAGUUCUGGAACGAUUACUACGCUAAGCUGUUGGAUAUUGACAAAACGAAAAAGACUUCUAAUGUUGAUAUGUAUCAGGAUGAUGUUAGAAAGUUGUUGAUUAAUGAAAAGAAGAAUCAAAAUGGUGUGUUUUCCGAUACUGAAUUAAUAGAUUUACAGAAUCAAAUUGCAAAUUGCACAAUGAAGUUCGAUGAGGAUAAUCUAUUUAAAGUAACUCCUAACAUAGUAAAGUUCUUGAUUAAUAAAGAUCAGCCUAACGCUAAGCAAUAUCUAAAGGGUUGCCUACCAAGUAGCUUACCUAUGCUUAAGAUGUUUGGUAUCUAUACGCUUGAGGCUAUCAUGAUUCAUGUACUAGGCUUGGUAUUCAACACUCUUCAGGAAUCAUCCGCAGUUAAGGCAGCUAGAUUUAUAGAUCAACUUAAUUCAACUGUACGAGAACAAGCAAGGUUUCUACAAUACAAAGCACCAGGUAGUGGUAAGGUGGAAGCAGUACUCACUAGUAAGGUAGAAUCAGUUAAGGAUGUUGUUCAGCCCAAAGGUGCUAGCAAAAAAGAGAAAAAGAAAAAAAUGCAGUGUCAUUAUGAUAUCGGGAAAUACUUGCUCCAAUUCAUGAUUGAAAGAAAUGUUCUACAUAUAUCAACAGAUAGGGAAAACGGCAAGAAAGGAACCAUGUCCUUGCUUUCUUGCCCCCAAGGCAAAAGGAAAAAUACCACUCUACGCAACCUCGAUGCCACGUACACUACACCCAUCGAUUCCGACCCUUGGAAUACAUAUAUCUGCAUAUAGAAACACGUAACACAUCGCCAUCACAUACACGGCGGCAUACCAGGCCCUGUCCGGCGAGCCAUGGACGUCCCCGGCGGCCGGGCGUACGGGGAGGAGCAGGAGGAGGAGCUGGACCCGGCGGUGGAUUGGAGGCAGGCCGGCGACGACCAGGACGUGGUGGAGCUCCGGCUGCCGGGGUUCCGCAAGGAGCACGUGCGCGUGCAGGUGGACAACUACGGCGUGCUCCGCGUCACUGGCGGCCGCCCCGCCCGGGGCGGCCGCUGGGUCCGCUUCACCAAGGACCUCCGCCUCCCCGACAACUGCGACGCCGACGGCGUCCGCGCCAGGUUCGAGGACGAGAAGCUGCUCAUCAGCCUCCCCAUCGUCCCCGGCGGUGAGGCGGACCUGGUACCCACGCCCACGCCGUCGCCCCCGGAGACACUGCCGAGGCCGGCGUUGCAGCCGCCGCCGUCUUCGGCGCCUCCUCCUCCACGCUUGCCUCCGCCUCCCGGGAAGCCCAGCUUCUUCGAGCCGAAGAUCCGGCCGCCGGUGCCGCCGCCACGGGCGCCAUCAUCGCGUUCACGUCCACUUCCUCCGUUUCCGGCUGAGCCCCCCACGGUUUCCGAGCCAAAGCCGCCGCCGGCGAAGCCCGCUGCUUUCGAGCCAAAGCUCCGACCGCCACCGCCACCGCCACCGCCUCCAUCACCGCCGCCAAUAUCACGCCCACUUCCUCCGUUCUCGUCUAGGCCCCCCAGCUUUUUCGAGCCAAAGGAACCGCCGCCGGCGAAAUCCACUGCUUUCGAGCCAAAGCNNNNNNNNNNNNNNNNNNNNNNNNNNNNNNNNNNNNNNNNNNNNNNNNNNNNNNNNNNNNNNNNNNNNNNNNNNNNNNNNNNNNNNNNNNNNNNNNNNNNNNNNNNNNNNNNNNNNNNNNNNNNNNNNNNNNNNNNNNNNNNNNNNNNNNNNNNNNNNNNNNNNNNNNNNNNNNNNNNNNNNNNNNNNNNNNNNNNNNNNNNNNNNNNNNNNNNNNNNNNNNNNNNNNNNNNNNNNNNNNNNNNNNNNNNNNNNNNNNNNNNNNNNNNNNNNNNNNNNNNNNNNNNNNNNNNNNNNNNNNNNNNNNNNNNNNNNNNNNNNNNNNNNNNNNNNNNNNNNNNNNNNNNNNNNNNNNNNNNNNNNNNNNNNNNNNNNNNNNNNNNNNNNNNNNNNNNNNNNNNNNNNNNNNNNNNNNNNNNNNNNNNNNNNNNNNNNNNNNNNNNNNNNNNNNNNNNNNNNNNNNNNNNNNNNNNNNNNNNNNNNNNNNNNNNNNNNNNNNNNNNNNNNNNNNNNNNNNNNNNNNNNNNNGUCGUUUCCACCACCACCACCACCACCACCACCCCCUCCUCCUCCUCCGGCGAGGCCCACUUUCUUCGACCCAAAGCUCUGGCUGCCGUGGCGGCAUUCAGAUCACGCUCGAGACACCCCUCCCGAGCCCGCAUUAACAAAGCCUCCCGCCACCGCCGAACGGAAGCCCUGGAUACCUCCGGCGAUCGUUCCUGGCCCAAGGACGGCCGAGCCGGAGCACGGGCCACCGCCAUUGCCACCUCCAAAACAGAGUACAGCCACUCUGCCUCAGCCUAAGUCACCCCCGCUGUCAGAUAUACCAAUCGGCGUCUCAUCUCCAUCGCCGCCUCCACCACCACCACCACCACGGCCGCCUAGUCAUCGUCUCCCGGAAGCAAAGGCGAAGACGAAGAAGAAGCAUCGCAAGGUGCAAGACGAAGACGGCAAGGUAAGGUUGCCACUGCUGGAGAAGAUGAAGAAGCAAGAGGAGAAGAGGAUGGAGGACAAGAAAGCGAGGGAGGCGGCGAACGGUGGAAGACAGCCGACUGAGCACGAGGAUUGGGACGUGUCACCAAAGCUGCUGCCGGCGAGCGAGGAUCCAGGGACGCCGCCGACGACGGAGCUGGUGACGAACAUGGCGGCCGCGGUGGUGGUGCUGGUGGGGAUCGCGCUGUCAGUUUGGCGCACCAUGAGCAGCAGCUAGCAGCUCCUGCCACCAUAAGGCUAAUGAGUGCACACUGUUAAUUAUCUGCUGAAGUUAAACUUACUAACUAAUUGUACAUGUACUGUACAAUGUAAAUAACCGUGCACUGUUAAUUAUCUGCCCAAGUUAAGCUACUAACUAAUUGUACAUAUAUGUACAACGUAAAUAACACAUGCAAUCGUUUAUAUCAGACUUUGUUUGAUCUGCAAGAGACAUAAAGUUUAACACUCAGCAUUGCUAUUUACUACUCCCUCCGUAAACUAAUAUAAGAGCAUUUAGAAUACUAAAGUAGUGAUCUAAACACUCUUAUAUUAGUUUACAGAGGGAGUACAUGCUUGGACUAGUUGUGAACUAACAUGGACCGGCCUAUAAUGUUGUAAAUAAACUCGAAAGUUAGUCGUUCACUUAUUCCUGCUAAUUUCAUUGGUUGUUGUCUUCAGAUGAGCAGGUUCCACCUCCAGCCAAUGCCGAUGCCAAUGCCACUUCCAGUUGCCUAAAAUUUCGGCAAGUGAUCAACAUAAAUACAUUUGUUAGAAUUAACCGCAACAUGGAAACAAUGAAAUAAAAAUGCAAUGGUACCUCUUGGUGAUGAGCCUUGAGCUUCCACUCGGCAUGGCUGUCAAGGAUUUGGACUUGGGAUGGGUUCCUAUUGCAGUUGCAGCUGCAGCUCCAGAAGGUCCGCCUCCAACCAUAGUUGAUAGUCUGUCCAAUAAGAAAUUCGUGGGAUAAAAUAAAUGCAAUAUUGCAAGAAAUGUAAUAACAAUAAUACCUUUUGAUAAUGGGCUCUAGGGUUUCAUUCCCUAGGGUAGGCAAGGGGGCAGGCAAAGGCACAACUCGAUCCAAUGCACUUGCUGGUGUGGCUCGCAGAUCCUCCUUGCUUGGACCUACUACAUGACAAUGCCAUGAGACAGCCAACAUGAAACUAUAAUGAUGCAAUAAUGUAGGGAAAAGCUAUCUAACCUUCUUUGCUCGCAAAAGUAAAUCCACCUUUGCGUGGAUGCAAGACGCCCGUAUGAGAGGAGCACCUCUUACAUGUAGUGUCAACAUCAUAAUCAUCUAAAGACAGAUCGAAGACAUAUCAGAUUCGUUCCUAGUUACUAAAGACUAGUGAAUAACUUUGCUUGAUGGCAUACAAACGAGAAGAAGAAGAAGAAGAAGACGAAGAAGAAGAAGAAGAAGAAACCUAAUUGGUUAAAAUUCAGAACGCCUGCAGCUAGCCGGAUUGGUGGUUGGUCGACCCGUUGCUCUGCGGUCGCGUGGGAACUGGGCAGCGGCCGGCGGGUUGUGGAGUUGGACGGAGCGUCGUGGGCCAGGCGAGGCGGGGUUAUAACAAGGCAAGGGUCUCCGUCUCUGUUGAAUUGGAGCCGGGGUCGGGGUCGGGGUCGGGCCCCAAGUCUGUUGGAACGAAACCACGACUCCUUGUUCGGCUUCAACUCAAACACAGGUCUCGCCGUGUCUCGCGUCUGUGCGUGUUACGCGGGCGUGUUCGAGCUAACCAAUCACAGUGCGCGCGCGACGACGAAGCGUUUUUUCUUUCAUCAGUCCUGAGGUCUACAUCCCGGCGUCGUUACGUUGGGCUCUUAUAUAUGGUGUCUAUGCAUUGGAAUCUUGCCUGCUGGCCCCGCAGCAGCAGCAGCAACAACAACAAUAAUCAUCAUCAUCAUCAUCAUCAUCAUCUUGACUGCUGAUUAGAUUGGAAGUUCCUGAAGAUCGUGCAAGUUUUCCGUCCCAACGUUGUCUUCUGCAGCGGUCGGUGUUUUGUCCCGACGUUGGUUUCGCCGGCGAUCGGUUUUUCUAUCCUGCGGUGCUUGCCGCCCUCUCAGCAAGGUUUGCAGAGUCUUGAUCUCCGUCCACUCUACUCCUUGCGAAUUAGGGUCUGGACGUACGUCGGUUUGGCUGGUGUUUUUUGGAUGUUCGGAAGAUUAUUGUUGAAGUAAUCAUAGCCGGGAACAAUGAAGCUUGUAUUAAGUUGGAAAAAUUGUCGGGGCAUCUUAGGAGCCCCGAGAGUCCAUUCGCUUCUAAAUAUUCAGAGGCGCCAUGAACCAAAUGGGUUUUUUCUCUCCGAAUCGCAUUUGGAUGAAGAAGGGGCAGAGGGUUUGAUGAAGAAACGGUAUAUGGAUCAUAUGAUCAUCGUUGCUCUGAGUCUUGAGGGAAGAAAGGGUGGUUUGCUAUUAGUCUGGAAGAAGGAGGUGCCCGGACUACCACCUUAGAUUUCAUCGGUGUUUCUGUUGUUGCUGGUCGUGGUUGAAAAAUUGCCUAAUAAAAUUAUAACACUGAAACUGGUUGAAACUUGGUUUAAAAAAUCAUGUAUUUGAAAAAUAAUGUAUUUGAAAAUAAGUUAAGAAUCCCGCAAAAAAAAGUUAAGAAAGGAAACAUAAAAAAGAAAAAGAAAAAAGAAAAACCAAAGGGAAAAUAGAAAACCGACUAAAAGAAAUUCAAAGAAAAAGGUCGCAGAACCUUUUUUUUAAGAAGUAGGACACAGAACCGGGUGCUCCUAAUCCACGCUUCAAGCGCCCGUUCGCACACCGGCGCACACGUAGCCGGUUAGUUGGGCCAGCCCAACAUUCCUCCUGGCUUGACGCUUAGUUCGCAGCACAGUUUGAUAGCACAACGAACUAUAGCAGCCUGUAGCAUCACUCGGCUGUAGCGCUUUUUCUGUGGACAGCUCGCCUGUAGCAUUGAUCCCUUUUUUCAACCAACUGUCGCGUUAGCAUUUCUAAAAAAACUGGCUCAUUCACUUUGUUUCAAAAACUUGGAUCUGAAAAAGGUUCCCGAUUACGGAAUAAAAGUUCAAAAUUUUGAAUAAAGUUCAUGGAAUUCAGAACAAGUUCAUAGAUCUUUCAGGAAAAGGUCCAUCGAAUUUGGAAUAAAUUCCAUCAAUUUUGAAAAAAGUUCAUCGAUUUUGAAAAAUAUGUCAUCAUCUUUAAAAACCUGUUCAUCGAAUUUGAAAAGUUCAUAAAUUGUGAAAAAACAAAUCAUCAAUUUUGGGAAAAACAUCGAAUUUCAAAAAAAGUUCAUCGAUAUUGAAAAAAAAUCAUCAAUUUCAAAAGUCAUUGAUUUAAAAAAAAUUGCAAGUUGAUUUUUUUUCAUCAAAUAAGGAAGAUGGAAAAACAGAAAACGAAAAACGGGAAAUGAAAAGAAGGAGAGUUAUGUAACUUAUCAGAUCGGGCUAAGAGGCAUUGUGGUUAGUCAAGCGUAACUUGAUGCGGGACGUCCCUGGUUUGAUUCACUCCACAUGCGUGCUUUUUUGCGUUAUAAGAAACAGAUAACAAAAGAGGAGUUGGGCCGGCCCAUUGCAGGAGGGCUGUGUGCACCCGUUUGCAAAUUGCAUACAAACGGGCGCAUGAAGCGCCAAAUAGAAAACACCCACAGAACCUUCCUCGGACUACCUAAACCGGAGUACCCAAAAACGUGCUAAAUGGACCGACCCGCUUCAAUGCUCCCAAAAUCCUAUUCUGUUAACCCGUGCACAUCCCCACUCAACUUUAUGUCCGGAGUACCAUUUAGCUUUUUUUAUUUACUGUAAAAAAGAUAAAGACGAAAGGGGAGUUGUGUCGGUCCAGCGCGAGAGGGCUGUGUGUACCUGUUUUCAAAAUGCAUACAAGUGGGCGCAUGAAGCGCCAAACUGGAAACACCCACAGAACCUUCCUCAGGCUUCCUAAACGGGAAUAUCCAAAACCAUGCUAAAUGGGCUGGCCCACUUCAAUGCUCCUAAAAUCCUAUUUUCUGUAAACCGGUGCACACCUCCACUCCAUUUUGGGCUCAAACCAUUUAGCUUUUUUCUUUACUUCUCGACAGGAAUUCGGCCAUUCCGAAACACAUGCAUCGCACGUGAAUGGCCUGGCCAAUAUAACAGUCACUUUUCUUUUUUCAUAAAUGUUUUCCCAGUUGGUUUUGGGAAGCUUCUACAAUUUUUCGUAUUCUUUAUUUUCUAUUUUGAUUUUCCUUUUUUCACAAGGAACAAAUCGUGAACUGUUUUUAAAUCAUUGAUCUUUUUUCAAAUCCAGUGAAUAUUUUUUGAAUGUAUUACUUUUUUCAAAUGCAUGAACUUUUUUCAAAUCCAAGAUUUUUUUUCAAAUGCAUGAACUUUUUUCAAAUCUGUGAACUUUUUCAAAUCCAUGAUUUUGACAAAUGCACGAAAUUUUCUGAAUUCUAUGAACUUUUAAAAUUCUGCAAAUAUUUUUUGAAUGCUCCCUCAGAAAACUAUUUUUUGAAUGCAUGGACUUUUUUCAAAUCCGUGAACUUUUUCAAGUUCAUGAACUUUUCAAAUCCACAAAAUAUUGAACUUUUUCAAAUUUGUGAUAAUAUUUUAAAGGCGGCCGCUACGCGUCGGCCGGUGGUUGUUUUGGAAACAUCCGCCGCAUGUACCACCGUCCGAUACGCGUCCUGACAACCAUCCCAUCCAACUAUCGCACGCGUGACUAUUCCUGCAGCAACCGCUCUAUUUCAGAAACAAAAAACCAUGUCCGCCAUCCAGACACACCUGCGCGCAGCGCGGCGCCAGCCCCCGCCACCGUGAAAACGCUGCUGCCGGGGCGCUACAGGGACUGAGGCCGUCGACGGAAAAUCCUACAGCACAAUGGCGCACCAAAUCGCGCGGCGCACGCUGGGAUCCGACGCAAAUCGAGCAAGCCGCGGUCCUACUUCAAGGACAGCCGUGGCCGUCGUUCUCAGCUCCGACCGCCGUCGGGGGGCUUCCUUCGACAAGAUCAAAUCAGGGCAGCUGGGUAAGUUUCCGAAUCUUAAUCCCUGAGCUGCGUGUCACUGUAACUGCUGUAGAUCCUAUUUAUCAGAAGAGGGCUGUUUGGAUUCAUGCGUGUGGCAGCUAAAAAAAGUUUUAGAAUUAUGUGGGUGAAGCCAAGGCACAACCCUAAACCCCUGCCCCCUUCUUGUAUCUCUGCAACAUGUAUCUGAAACAUCUCAUUUUUGUUGUUUAUCAACAGAAGAAACACAUAGCUAGUUGUUGUCUCUGGUUUCAAUUUUGUUUAUGAAUGGCAUGGAUUGCAUGAAUUUUUGAAACAACAAAAUACAACUGUUGAUGCCAUGUAUCUAUCUAGGCCAUGUAUCUAUUGAUGCAUUGUAGAUGAAAUUCUAAAAUUCUGGCAAUUCUGAAACAACAAAUAUAACUCUUAAUGCCUUGUAGAUAAAAAAAGUGAUUGUUGCACAACAUCUGCUAUAUUUUACAAAAAUAAAAACUUGUGCCUCAUUUCAGGAAGCUGCGACUGAAGGGGAAGGGAGCUAUGUCCAAGGGAACUUCUCUGUCCAUGAUAAUGAAGAUUCAGAUGGUUUGGUGCAUGCUGAUGAUGCAAUGCAAGAUGAUUCAGAUGAUGGAGAUGUUUCGUCGCAGCCACUACCACCCUAUGUUGGCAUGGUCUUUGACACAAUUCAGGAUGCAAAGAAAUUCUACAAUGACUAUGCCUUCAAGUUGGGUUUCGGGACACACAUAUCUUCAACAAAGUACAGCCAGAAGAAGGGACGGAAGCGAGAGGAUGUCGUAAUGAUCAAGAGGGUCGUUGGGUGUGUGCAUGCUAGAACAGCUGAUAAACCUGAAACAAGUAGCACAUCGGAGAUCAUUGCAACAGAAGCAAGCAACACCAGCAAGCGGCUUGUGUAGACAUGUAGACCACUCAAAGCUGCGACAGAGGCAGUGGCAGCACCACAUAAAUGUCAAUUUUGCUCAGAGGUUGGACAUGCUGUACCAAAAUGUGUGUACUUGAGAGCGGUGAUGAAAAAUGCUCCGAGAAGUGCCCAAGCAAUGCAACUCAACCUAUAGGAAAAAAUGCUCCAUAAAAUGUUUUCGAUUUUCUUUUGAGCCUCACAUUGUGCUUGAGGAAAAAACAUUCAUAGUUUCUAUUUUGCAACAUUGAUGAUGCAUUUAAGAUAUAUUUCCAUUUUGCAAAAACUAUGUUACGGGAAAACAGAGGAAAUAAAAAGAUCUCAUAUUCUUAUGUGUGACUGAAAUUGAUACCUAUGUGUGCCUGAAAACAGAGGAAAACAUAGCACUAUCCUGCAAGAAAACAGGCAAGAAAGGCUCACAUUUUGUAUCUUGAAAUAGUUUUGAAUUUGUUGUUUUCUUCAUUUUGUCCUUCUUACAAUAUUUUUGUUUUCAUGUUACGACAAAACAUGUUUCCAGUACUUGAAACAUCUUGUGUAUUGAACAGUUUUUUGAGGUCUGAUCCAGAACAUGAAUGAUGCUUUCAGCAUAUGUGGACAUAUUCCCAGUAUUGCUAAGCACAUUUUGUCCUCCCUCGAGUAAUUUACAUACAUACAUGAUGAUGCAAGAUGGUUUCAGUUAAAAAAAUGAACUGUUUCAACAAUAUAAUCCCAGUAAAUAUACAUGGCACAUGAAGUGUGAUUUCACUGUUUCAGCACAAAAAAACCAAUGAAAACAAAAAUAUACCAAGCUGCAAAAAAUGCCUGUCAUUUUCAUUACCAACUCUCCAUCAAUCUCUAGUUCACAUUCACAUGGGUCAGCAUGAAUCAUCAUGGAUGAUGCUCCAGCAUUUCAAAACAAACUAAAAAAGAAAAAAAGGACAUGCCCAGCAUGAUAGAUGCUCCAAUCUUGAGUUCCACAAAAAACAUCUAGGUAGCUCCAGCAUGAUACUUGUUGUUUUCAGUUACAUAAAUGGAUGUUUCGGACACAUGGACUCACAAAAUAAAAAGUAAAAACUAAGCUAGCGAGCUUCUGUUCCGAUUGUCAUCUUCUACGAGCUUCUCGGCAGUUUAUGGAACUCUUCGGCUGAGUUGAGAGUGUUCUGAGGGUGCUUGAAAAGCUUCGGUGAUACGAAUGUCCGAAAAUUGAGCAACGACCUCAUGUCCUGAGCAUAGAAAAGGCAGAAAUACUCCCUCCGGUCCUUUUUAGUUCGCAUAUAAGAUUUGACUGAAGUCAAGCCUCGUAAAGUUUGGUCAACUUUGUAGAAAAAAAAUGCCAACAUUCACAGUUUGAAAUCAAUACCACUAGAUGUGUCAUGACUUAAAGUUUCAUAUUAUAUAACUUUAGCAUAGCAGAUGUUGAUAUUAUUUCAUAUAAAUACGGUCAAACUUUGUGAAGUUUGACUUCAGAGAAUUCUAAUAUGCAGAGUAAAAAGGACCGGAGGGAGUACAAAAAAAACAUGGAAACGAUUAAUAUUCCGCGCAGCUGCUUUGUCGACCAACGAGUUUGGAAGAUAGGCAUGCUGCAAAACAAGAGCAAAAAUGAAAACAUGGAAACUAUCAGCAAUGCAUAUCUACUUAUCAGAUAAUGAAAAGUAUUGAAGCAAAAGUUGAAGAUUGCAUAUAUAACUCUGCAGAUAAAAUGCAGGUUUGAAAGAACAUUAGUUAAUCCAACUAACUUCAGAUAAACAUGAGCUAAAAAAUCAUGGAAAAGUAUUGGAACAGUAGCUAAAUUUCAGAGAAAAGAUAUAUAUAGUUUAAGAAGCAAAAACUGAGUUCCCUGUGCUAUAAGCUAGCAGUACAAACAUUCCUGUAGUUUCAGAAAUAUAAGCUACAAACAUAACCUACAAACUAGUUUCAGAAAGGUAAGUUUCUCUAAAAUUUAGCUAAUGUUUCUCUGAAAUUACAUAUAUGUUUUCUUCUCUCUCUGAAACUACAUAUAUGUUUCUCUGAGACUACAAACUGAAUAACUGCAUGAGAUACAGAAGCUUUGAACUAAAAAGAAAAAUCCUGCAUCACUAGUUUCCUGUAGCACAUCAAGUCUGUACCACUAAUUCCGUACAGCACAUCAAAAUCUUGCAUCACUAACUUCCAAGUAAAAAAAUGCUACAGAAGUUUUGAGCUACAAACAUUCAGAAAAGAUAGUAUCAGCUACAACACAGCAAGGGGAUAGCAUGAGCUCCAGCAGCGUAUUCUAAAAGUCAAAUAAACAAUUCUGCAACACUGGAUGUGCAACACCCAAAUCCCUAUUGCACAUCUACCAUCUACACCACCUAUAUCAUCUACACCAUCCACCUCGGCGCCGACGACGAGAGCAUCUCCUUACAUCAGAGCACCGCUACGAUGAGCUGCAAAAAUUCAGAAACUAACACAAAAAUGGGAUCCUGCAACUGUAAGUUCUCUCUGCAUCACAACAUAAACUAUGAGCUCCAGAAAAAAUAAAACAAAGAGGAUCCUACAGAAACUACGUGCUCCGGAAAUUCAGAAACACACAAAUGGGAUCCAGUGCACAAAUUUUCAGCAGAAGGGGAUCCAGUGCACAAAUUUGUAUCACAACAUAAACUAUGAGCUUCAGAAAAAUGAAACAAGGGGAUCCUACAGAAACUGCACGCCCCAAAAAUUCAGAAACACACCUACGAGUUUUCAGAACUAUGCGCUCCAUUGCACAAAUUUUCAGCAGCAUAAAAACUGAAAAAAAUGAUCCUGAAACUCGUUGUCGCGCUGUCGAACUUCCUACAACGCCGCCGAACUACCUACAACCGCUCUGCUCCUUGUCGCGCCAUCGUCUCCAUCAUGGUGACAUGCCAUUUAAUUUUUUUUUUUUGAGGAAAAUGAAUUAUGAAGGUAGCUAAAACUGACUAAACGGGACUUAUGGACGUCACUUAUUUGCCAUUUACAUCCCCACCGGUCCACCUCCUCCAAGCGAAUCGUUCGCCAACUAAGAGGGUCCUAUUUCAGUUACAUUUUGUUUCUUUGAACAGUUCCCUAGUAAAAAAAAUCAAACCAUCUGCAUCUAAAUUGCCAAGAUCUAGAGUUGAUUCUAAAAAAACCCUCCAAACUAGGUGAGAGCACGUCCGCUAAUUUGCAGCAGCAAAUAACUGAACUACCAUUUCAGCAACCUAACACAGAUAUCCAAUGCAACAAAUGAACAAGUUCGCUCGUUUAUGGUUCUAGCUCAGCCAGUAAAACCAGACGAACAAGAUGCUCCAAAUCAACAUUCCAGUUCAUCAGGACGGCAACAGAAUGCCUUCCAGUAGAACAGCAGCCGCAACAGAAUCACAUCAACAGUUGGGGAACACAAUCCAUCCGCACAAGGAAACCUACAAUUCUGACGUUGUUUCGUUCCUUCGGCCAAAUGCAUGCUCAAGAAAUCGAACAGGGAACCAAAAUCAAUCAGUGCAGGAAAAUACACGCUAAUUUUCGGCCGCCGCCCGUCUUCCGGAGCAUCUUGUUCGGGGGAGGGGGCCGGUUGCCCGAUCCAUACAUGUUGGCCACCGCCGAACCCGUCAUCGUCGUCGCCACCGCGGAGGAUAUGCGCCACCGCCCCUGCCGCCCAACGCCCUGCGCCGCCCGCCGCUGCCCUCCCGAAUCCAGCCGCGUAUCCCUAGCCCUCUCAGAGACAAGAGUCAAUAGUGCUGGUCAGUUGCAAGAAUAACUGUACUGAAACAAUGGCUCGGUUUCAGAAACGCACGCGCGUCACGCGGCGGGGAGGCUGUCGUCCGUCCGAUCAACAGGCGAUCCGACGGACGCGGAGCCGGCGGAUGCGGCGCGAGUGAUCGGUCGGGUGAAGGAGAGCUUUUCCCUAUUUUAAAUUCUAUAUUUUUUUUAAAAAAUGCAUUCUAGUAAAAAAGUGAACGGUGGCCCAGUCUAGCGCGACCAGUAAACCAGGGAACCGGGAGAGGAGAACUGGCGCGUCGUGAGCAAGCAUUCGCCUCGUUGUUGGGUGGGCCCAUGGAGCUGGGGCACGUGAGCGCUGGCUCCUUUACCUGCCGCUUAAGGCGGUGGCGAGGAGGUCUCGACGAUAUGUGUGAUAAUUAGUGAAAUACUUCUUUCGUCUGAAAAUACUUGUCAUUAAAAUGGAUAAAUAAAAUAUAUCUAAAACUAAAAUACGUCUAGAUAUAUCUCAUUUUGUUUAUUUUGAUGACAAGUAUUUUCGGACGAAUGGAGUAUUAUAUAGCAAGCACAUACAAAAUGGGCUCAUUCGAGUGUUAAAAAAAAUGGGCUGAUUAAAAGCAACUCCAAGAAGCCGACCUAUUUCGUCCGCUUGCGUCUAUUUGGGUCGGCGCGGACAAAAGUGGCGGCCCAACGCGCCGACCCAAACCCAAAUCACGUCCGCGUCGCGUCCGCGCCGACGCAUUUGCGGUUCAAAUUUGCGCCCCAAAUGCGUCGGCGCGGACGCCGAACGGACGCUUCGCGCGCCUUUUCGCUGUCCGUUGCGUCUUACAUGGCGGCCGUCCAACUACCCGCUGCCCACGCGGUCAGCUUAAUUUAUGACGACGGGCCCACGCGUCAGCGAUGGCGCUCGUCCUUUUUAAGCCGACCGUGUGGCGGGGCCGUCCUCAUCCAAACUCACCGUCCCCAUCUGCCCACCCUUGCUCCCUCGUCGCCGGCAAACCCUAGCCACCGCAACCACAGCGACGAUGGGCCUCUUCUCCGGCGCCAGCGGCAGCAAGGCCAAGGGCAAGUCCCCCGCCACCCCUUUCCCCUCCGAGUUUCUCCCACCCCGUCGGCGCCUCGCCGGCAGAGGCAGCGCGUCAACGUGCCAGUGCACCAGGCGGAAUGGCACUGGCAGAACCGCCAGCCGCUGCCAUAUCCCGACGUGACGCUGCCACACGACUGGCAUCUGGAUCUAGAUAGGAUCCCAGUGCCGGUGGCGCCGCGGUUGGCUCGUGCUCACGCGGAGGAGGUGCGGCGCCGGCGGGCGCUGCUGACGGCGAAGCAGCGCCGCGACUCCGCCUACGCAACCGACUUGCCCAACUGGGCGAGGUGGUUCGUCUUCGAGCACGAGGAGGCGAGGCGCCGGGGCGUGCGCGAGGUCGACCGGAGGCCAACGCCGCUGGUCGUCCGCGAGGAGGACCAGGCGGCGGAGGACGCCUACCAGGCGGCCCUUGCGGCCGUCUAUCGUGAGAGCGAAGAGGACGAACGGCGCAGAGCGGAGGCGGCGGAGGCGGAAGAGGAUGCCCACUACGAGGCGGCAAUGGCGCAGGCCCUUGCCCUCUCCGCGGCGGGCGACAGCGUGGUGCCGCCGGUGGCCCCGCCGUCCCCAUCAAGCCGGAGCCGCGGCCGCAGCCCGAGCCCAUUGCGUGCUUCUCCUGUAAUGGAGUGGUGCGCGAGUGGGUGUCCGCACCACCGAUCCGACUGGGGGCGACGCCGGCGCAGCAGCAGGCCUACCUCGAGAUGUGGCGCCAGUGCCGACUGGCAGAGGAGCGCCAGCAAGGCGAGUACGAGGAGAUGCUCGAGCACGACCUCGAGGAGGAGACGCGCGAGGCCGAAGAGGAGGCGCGCCAGGCCGCGGUUGCACAGGCGGCCGCACAGCCCCCCGCUCCGGCAUUGCCUGCGCCGGCACAACCCGACAUGGCAGCGCUCUGGAACACGGCGUUCGCCUGGGCCGGGCCGGCGCCGACGCUCAUCGACCUCAUGGACCCCGAGGACGACGACGAGGACGCCUAGGGCAGCGCACCGCCUCGUAGUUUAGGCUGUUUUUAUUUUUUUAAAUGCAAACAUGGACGCGUGGACUUUCACCGGCCUUCGUGGCCGGCUUUAAUGUUUAAUUAAUGUAGUUUCUCUUUUUUUAAAUAUGCAUGCGUUCAUUUUUUCUGGCGCCGUCUAAAUGGGUCGCAGGCCAGCGUUGGGCGCACGUACCGACGCAAAUGCGGAAGCGGGCAUCCGUGUCUGUCUAGCCGACCCAAAUGAACAAAAAGCGGACGAAAUCGACAUCCGUUUGGAUCGGCCCGUUGGAGUUGCUCUAGAAGAUGAUAAUGCAAGAGUUUGGGGUGACAGAUGGGUUCUGGUAAUUUUGACAAUAAACCAAUUUGUCGCUGGCCGGAUGCCACCGCCGUUAAUUAAAGUUUGUGACCUCUUGUAUCGCGACGGAGCAACACGGGACAUGAGGAGCAAAGGGUUUGGUCGAAGGAGAAAAACAUGGUGUUUUUUAUUCUGUGUUGAGUCUGAUCUCCUGCUGUCUGCACCUGCACCGCACACAUGGUGGUUCUGCUUCCUCUUCAGCACACAGUUCCUGAUACUUUGGGCAAAGGAUUCACGACGAGAAAUGCCCCAAACUUCAGCCCAAAGUUCAGGUAUUGGCAGUUCCCUCAUGCCUGGCUGUAACUUUGUAAAGAUUUCUACAGUGAUAGAGCCUGACCUAUCCUAAGAUAUGGAUUCCUGUAUGACACUCAAGAGCCCCAGUUCAGACCACACCUCCUUCUGUCAAGUCCUGGCAGGGGCAGCUCCAAACUCUUUGCCGCCAAUCCUAGUAUAAUCCUACUGUCGCAAUAUAGCGCUGGAAAAUCUUCAUUCUCGAAGAUACAACAAUUCUCUACUGCCCCUUCGUCCAAUCUUUCACGGGCUGAAUUUGAUAAUCAUUUCUUUACAUAAUCGCGGGCUGAAUUUGAUAAUCAUUUCUUUACAUAAUCGCAUUAUUAUUGACAGAUAAAUCACGAGCCGACGUACUAGAAGAUUUAUAUCUCAUUGCAAUGCAUGGGCAUUGCUUAUGGCCUCGUCAGAGCAGCAGCGGUAGAGUGUCAUGACCAACGUGCACUAAUAAUUAUUUGAAGUUAAGCUACUAACUACACCCGCUAUCCCAUAAUAUAAGACGUUAUUACAUCCAAUAUGUUAGUAUAUGGGAUGUAAUAAUGUCCUAUUUUAUGGGGCAAAGUAACAGCAGCGCAACUGGUGGCAACACACAAACAACGAACCAUGUGAGACUAAGGCAGAACAUCUGGAGAAAUUUUGUAAUUUGAAACAUAACGUAACAAACUCAAGACUUAGAUGAACAAUUCGCCACUCAGUUUACAAUACACACCGACAAACCGCCUCAAAAACCACCAAAUCAAGGGAUGAGCACAUGGCGCCGAGAAACAAACUAGCCUAGCCAACAAGUGGAUACGAGACCCAGAUUAUUCAAAGUAAACACGGCUAUGGUGGUGACAUCCUCCUUGCAAUUAAAAGGGGGGCUCUGCUAUACGAGCACGGCUUACUGCGCCUUGGCGAGCUCGGCACGGAUCUGCUUGGCGGCCUCAACCAUGUUGGUGAGGGCAGGCUUGACCUCGGCGUACUUGCGGGUCUUGAGACCGCAGUC
Molecule: long non-coding RNA, 24396 nt
Filed under: Triticum aestivum (bread wheat)
Lineage: Eukaryota; Viridiplantae; Streptophyta; Magnoliopsida; Poales; Poaceae
Description: long non-coding RNA (TAES_LNC005017)
Rfam family: MIR1120/MIR1122 microRNA precursor family (bases 21139-21272)
Source: RNAcentral